This 407-nucleotide ribosomal RNA is filed under the name uncultured bacterium. RNAcentral describes it as "partial 16S ribosomal RNA". It matches the Rfam family "Bacterial small subunit ribosomal RNA", at positions 30 to 526 of the family's 1533-position model. The record is from RNAcentral.
AUUGAAUGCUAGCGGGAUGCCUUACACAUGCAAGUCGAACGGAAUUGCGAACGGGUGAGUAAUGUAUCGGAACGUGCCCAGUAGCGGCGGAUCACUCCGCGAAAGCUUAGCUAAUACCGCAUACUAUUAAAGCGGCCUAUAUCGGAUUUGCUAGUUGGUGGGGUAACGGCUUACCAAGGUGACGAUCAGUAGCUGGUUUGAGGGGACGACCAGCCACACUGGGACUGAGACACGGCCCAGACUCCUACGGGAGGCAGCAGUGGGGAAUGUUGGACAAUGGGGGAAACCCUGAUCCAGCCAUCCCGCGGGUGCGAUGAAGGCCUUCGGGUUGUAAAGCACUUUUGGCAGGAAAGCGGUACCUGCAGAAUAAGCACCGGCUAACUACGUGCCAGCAGCCGCGGUAAUAC